Molecule: ribosomal RNA, 539 nt
Filed under: Agrilus lubopetri
Lineage: Eukaryota; Metazoa; Arthropoda; Insecta; Coleoptera; Buprestidae
Description: partial 16S ribosomal RNA
Rfam family: Bacterial large subunit ribosomal RNA (bases 109-472)
Source: RNAcentral
AAUCAUUAGCUUUUUAAUUGAAAGCUGGUAUGAAGGAUUGGACGAGAUACUUACUGUCUCUAUUUUAAAUAUUGAAUUUUAUUUUUGAGUUAAAAAGCUUAAAUUUUCUUGUAAGACGAGAAGACCCUAUAGAGUUUUAUACUUUAUGAUUUUAUUUUUGAUAUUAGAAUUUAAUUUUUAGAGUCUAAAAGUAUUUUGUUGGGGUGACAGAAAAAUUUAUUAAACUUUUUCUUAUUAUUUUAUAUAGAUAUAUAGAUUUUUGACUUAGUUUCUAAUUAUAAGAUUAAAUUACCUUAGGGAUAACAGCGUAAUUUUUCUUAAGAGCUCCUAUCGAAAGAAGAGAUUGCGACCUCGAUGUUGGAUUAAAGUUUAAAUUUGGUGUAGAAGCUACUUGUUUUAGUCUGUUCGACUAUUAAAACUUUACAUGAUCUGAGUUUAGACCGGCGUGAGCCAGGUUGGUUUCUAUCUUCAAUAUUUUAAAAUAUUUUAGUACGAAAGGACCAAAUAUUAUUUAAAUUAAUUUAAUUUUGACUUUUACU